CUCCCUGGUUUCCCUAGGUUCCGUGGCUCCCUCUUCUGUGGUCUCUUCCCCUCCUCCUCCUCCUAACUCUGAGGUUAUGGGUUCACUUAAAAACCUUGCCUCUGGU
Non-coding RNA from Mesocricetus auratus (golden hamster), 106 nucleotides. NCBI's taxonomy places the organism in Eukaryota, Metazoa, Chordata, Mammalia, Rodentia, Cricetidae. The record is from Rfam.